This 361-nucleotide ribosomal RNA is filed under the name uncultured bacterium. Its description in RNAcentral is "bacterial SSU rRNA". It matches the Rfam family "Bacterial small subunit ribosomal RNA", at positions 917 to 1269 of the family's 1533-position model. The record is from RNAcentral.
GGGCUCACACAAGCGGUGGAGCAUGUGGCUUAAUUCGAGGCAACGCGAAGAACCUUAUCCUGGGUUUGACAUGUACGGAUGGCUCGCCUGAAAGGGAUGAGUCUGCCUUCGGGUGAAACGUACACAGGUGCUGCAUGGCUGUCGUCAGCUCGUGCCGUGAGGUGUAGGGUUUAAGUCCUUGAACGAGCGCAACCCUUGUCCUAGUUGCCAGCAUUUCGGAUGGGGACUCUAAGAGACUGCCGGUGUUAAAACCGGAGGAAGGUGGGACGACGUCAAGUCAUCAUGGCCUUUGAUGCCCCAGGGGCUGCACACGUGCUACAAUUGGGCGUACAAAGGGAAGCGAACCCCGCGAGGGGAAGCA